This 2905-nucleotide ribosomal RNA is filed under the name Escherichia coli. Its description in RNAcentral is "23S ribosomal RNA". It matches the Rfam family "Bacterial large subunit ribosomal RNA". Lineage: Bacteria; Pseudomonadati; Pseudomonadota; Gammaproteobacteria; Enterobacterales; Enterobacteriaceae. The record is from RNAcentral.
GGUUAAGCGACUAAGCGUACACGGUGGAUGCCCUGGCAGUCAGAGGCGAUGAAGGACGUGCUAAUCUGCGAUAAGCGUCGGUAAGGUGAUAUGAACCGUUAUAACCGGCGAUUUCCGAAUGGGGAAACCCAGUGUGAUUCGUCACACUAUCAUUAACUGAAUCCAUAGGUUAAUGAGGCGAACCGGGGGAACUGAAACAUCUAAGUACCCCGAGGAAAAGAAAUCAACCGAGAUUCCCCCAGUAGCGGCGAGCGAACGGGGAGCAGCCCAGAGCCUGAAUCAGUGUGUGUGUUAGUGGAAGCGUCUGGAAAGGCGCGCGAUACAGGGUGACAGCCCCGUACACAAAAAUGCACAUGCUGUGAGCUCGAUGAGUAGGGCGGGACACGUGGUAUCCUGUCUGAAUAUGGGGGGACCAUCCUCCAAGGCUAAAUACUCCUGACUGACCGAUAGUGAACCAGUACCGUGAGGGAAAGGCGAAAAGAACCCCGGCGAGGGGAGUGAAAAAGAACCUGAAACCGUGUACGUACAAGCAGUGGGAGCACAGAGCAAUCUGUGUGACUGCGUACCUUUUGUAUAAUGGGUCAGCGACUUAUAUUCUGUAGCAAGGUUAACCGAAUAGGGGAGCCGAAGGGAAACCGAGUCUUAACUGGGCGUUAAGUUGCAGGGUAUAGACCCGAAACCCGGUGAUCUAGCCAUGGGCAGGUUGAAGGUUGGGUAACACUAACUGGAGGACCGAACCGACUAAUGUUGAAAAAUUAGCGGAUGACUUGUGGCUGGGGGUGAAAGGCCAAUCAAACCGGGAGAUAGCUGGUUCUCCCCGAAAGCUAUUUAGGUAGCGCCUCGUGAAUUCAUCUCCGGGGGUAGAGCACUGUUUCGGCAAGGGGGUCAUCCCGACUUACCAACCCGAUGCAAACUGCGAAUACCGGAGAAUGUUAUCACGGGAGACACACGGCGGGUGCUAACGUCCGUCGUGAAGAGGGAAACAACCCAGACCGCCAGCUAAGGUCCCAAAGUCAUGGUUAAGUGGGAAACGAUGUGGGAAGGCCCAGACAGCCAGGAUGUUGGCUUAGAAGCAGCCAUCAUUUAAAGAAAGCGUAAUAGCUCACUGGUCGAGUCGGCCUGCGCGGAAGAUGUAACGGGGCUAAACCAUGCACCGAAGCUGCGGCAGCGACACUGUGUGUUGUUGGGUAGGGGAGCGUUCUGUAAGCCUGCGAAGGUGUGCUGUGAGGCAUGCUGGAGGUAUCAGAAGUGCGAAUGCUGACAUAAGUAACGAUAAAGCGGGUGAAAAGCCCGCUCGCCGGAAGACCAAGGGUUCCUGUCCAACGUUAAUCGGGGCAGGGUGAGUCGACCCCUAAGGCGAGGCCGAAAGGCGUAGUCGAUGGGAAACAGGUUAAUAUUCCUGUACUUGGUGUUACUGCGAAGGGGGGACGGAGAAGGCUAUGUUGGCCGGGCGACGGUUGUCCCGGUUUAAGCGUGUAGGCUGGUUUUCCAGGCAAAUCCGGAAAAUCAAGGCUGAGGCGUGAUGACGAGGCACUACGGUGCUGAAGCAACAAAUGCCCUGCUUCCAGGAAAAGCCUCUAAGCAUCAGGUAACAUCAAAUCGUACCCCAAACCGACACAGGUGGUCAGGUAGAGAAUACCAAGGCGCUUGAGAGAACUCGGGUGAAGGAACUAGGCAAAAUGGUGCCGUAACUUCGGGAGAAGGCACGCUGAUAUGUAGGUGAAGUCCCUCGCGGAUGGAGCUGAAAUCAGUCGAAGAUACCAGCUGGCUGCAACUGUUUAUUAAAAACACAGCACUGUGCAAACACGAAAGUGGACGUAUACGGUGUGACGCCUGCCCGGUGCCGGAAGGUUAAUUGAUGGGGUCAGCGCAAGCGAAGCUCUUGAUCGAAGCCCCGGUAAACGGCGGCCGUAACUAUAACGGUCCUAAGGUAGCGAAAUUCCUUGUCGGGUAAGUUCCGACCUGCACGAAUGGCGUAAUGAUGGCCAGGCUGUCUCCACCCGAGACUCAGUGAAAUUGAACUCGCUGUGAAGAUGCAGUGUACCCGCGGCAAGACGGAAAGACCCCGUGAACCUUUACUAUAGCUUGACACUGAACAUUGAGCCUUGAUGUGUAGGAUAGGUGGGAGGCUUUGAAGUGUGGACGCCAGUCUGCAUGGAGCCGACCUUGAAAUACCACCCUUUAAUGUUUGAUGUUCUAACGUUGACCCGUGAUCCGGGUUGCGGACAGUGUCUGGUGGGUAGUUUGACUGGGGCGGUCUCCUCCUAAAGAGUAACGGAGGAGCACGAAGGUUGGCUAAUCCUGGUCGGACAUCAGGAGGUUAGUGCAAUGGCAUAAGCCAGCUUGACUGCGAGCGUGACGGCGCGAGCAGGUGCGAAAGCAGGUCAUAGUGAUCCGGUGGUUCUGAAUGGAAGGGCCAUCGCUCAACGGAUAAAAGGUACUCCGGGGAUAACAGGCUGAUACCGCCCAAGAGUUCAUAUCGACGGCGGUGUUUGGCACCUCGAUGUCGGCUCAUCACAUCCUGGGGCUGAAGUAGGUCCCAAGGGUAUGGCUGUUCGCCAUUUAAAGUGGUACGCGAGCUGGGUUUAGAACGUCGUGAGACAGUUCGGUCCCUAUCUGCCGUGGGCGCUGGAGAACUGAGGGGGGCUGCUCCUAGUACGAGAGGACCGGAGUGGACGCAUCACUGGUGUUCGGGUUGUCAUGCCAAUGGCACUGCCCGGUAGCUAAAUGCGGAAGAGAUAAGUGCUGAAAGCAUCUAAGCACGAAACUUGCCCCGAGAUGAGUUCUCCCUGACUCCUUGAGAGUCCUGAAGGAACGUUGAAGACGACGACGUUGAUAGGCCGGAUGUGUAAGCGCAGCGAUGCGUUGAGCUAACCGGUACUAAUGAACCGUGAGGCUUAACCUU